GCAAAUUACCUGCGAGAUAAAAACAGCUUUUACCACCUCUUUCGAGUCAGUCUUGCAUUGUGGGUUUUUGUUGUGGUUCUAUAGCGAGAAACACAGAGGGCACUGCUUGUUUGUGCUCAUGCAGGAUGCAGGUGUCUAUUACUGUGCGAUGCCGGCUUGCUCUGCUGAUUCUGACUCUUGCUGUUUGUGAUGUCAGAAAUGCAAAUGGUUCUCAGUUUGCCUCCCCUGGCUCCACAAAAGGAGGAAGUGCUCGUUACCAUGACACUUCUGACAAAAUUGAGCCAUUGAAAGCUGGACCUGUUCAAAAUGGCAACAUGCACUCUGCUGGCAGUGCUCAGCCCAGAUAUAGUGGAUACUACCAACCAUUUCAACCUAGUUCCUUUCCAGUGGUUAGGGAACAAGCUGCAGACACCAGAUACAAGCCUCCGUCUCCUUCCCAAUCUGUUCCCACAGGGAAGAAACAUGUGCAGAGCAGCUACCAGUCACUCCACAGAGAGAGUGUGUACUCAAGACCAGCUCAAACUACAGUAGGCAGGUAUGAGCCUCCUUCUGCUUCAAAGCCUACCCAGACAGGCUACCGUCCCAUGCAGAGCAGCAACCAACCAAGCCUUAGCCAGCCUAAGAAAAACUACAAACCAGGUGUGAUUGGCCAGAGCACCAGCAGUGUGAUUGGCCAGAGCACCAGCAGUGUGAUCCAAGGUGGUAGACAAUUGCGUCAAAGUGGCUUUCCACCAGUGCAGGGCCAGCACAGCCAAGGUCGGCAAAGUUCCCAGAUAAGACCAAAGCCAGGAAGGCUAAUAGACCCUGCAUCCUUCAAGCCAUUAUCUGCUCCGUCAGUCCAGGGAGUUGACAAGCCCUUACCUCAGAGCCACUCUUCCCCAUCUGGUCAGAGCUUUAGCCAGGCUCCUGAGACUGCACAGACAAUGUACAAACCUACACAGACCAACUAUCAGCCAUACCAGGGCAAGAGGAACCAGCAGUUUCGACUGCCAUCUAUUGCAAGCACCCAGGAGGUGGCAUCUCCAGCCAAGCCAGUGCAGGGUUGGCAUCAGCAGGCGCGUCCAGUUUCCGGUGCUUGUUCCAAGCCUCAGUCCCAGAGUGUUCUGUGCUGCAUUUUAUUUCGGCUGGAAAGACCUGGGGCUGAGAACAAUCAACCAUUCCAUGGGUGGUUUGACCCACAGUGGGCAUCCCAGCAAUUUGAGCAUACUCUGACCCAAGCUGCCCCUGCCAAGCCAGUCCAGGGUUCUCAACAACAUUCUCCAGCAGUUUCUAGUUCUUAUCCAUAUUCCAGUCCUGUGCAUAGCCUCCAGACACCUAAACCAGUACAACACAACAACCAGUCCUUCCAGGGUGGGUUUCCAGCAGGUUCUACACUCCAACAUGCUGAGGGUACCCAGAAGUUGGAAUAUGCUGUGCCGCCAGGCCUGACUUGGCUUCAACAGUCUCCUGCAGUUUUUAGCUCUGUGGUCCAACAGGCUGAGAACCCUCAGAAGAGGCCGUAUCCAGCAAAGGAUUUCCAGGGUUGGCAACAGCAGUCUCCUUCUGUUCCUACCACUGGUCUGGAUUCCAAGCCUGGACAGAGCCUUCAGACCCCUCAGCAAGGGCAUGGCAUCUACCAGUCAUUCCAGAGCAUAUUCACAGAAGAAACUGCAUCUCAGUCCCCUGAAAGUGCCUGGAAACCAGCAUCUGCUAAUCCAGAACAGAGCUGGCAUCAACCAUUCCCUCCAUUUUCCUACAAUGCACAAGACUUUAAGCCAGUCCAAAUCAAGUCAAAUGUAGAAGAAACUGUAUCUCAGUCCCCUGAAAGUGCCUGGGAACCAGCAUCUGCUAAUCCAGAACAGAGUUGGCAUCAACCAUUCCCUCUGGUUUCCUACAAUGCACAAGACUUUAAGCCAGUCCAAAUCAAGUCAAAUGUAGAAGAAACUGUAUCUCAGUCCCCUGAAAGUGCCUGGAAACCAGCAUCUGCUAAUCCAGAACAGAGUUGGCAUCAACCAUUCCCUCUGGUUUCCUACAAUGCACAAGACUUUAAGCCAGUCCAAGUCAAGUCAAAUGUAUUUAUAGUCAGCAACCCCCUCAUGCGCCCAAAACGUCUGCAUAUUCUCCGCAGUCUUCUGGGUACAGUUUCUCCCACGGUACAUCUUCAGGCAACUUUGGUUCAACUGUUGGUCGGACAAAGAGCUAAAGGGUAUGUUGGUUUUAAUGGAAGUAUCCAUACCGUUGAGCCAUGUCGGUGUUUGCAUUCCCUUUUCUUUAUGUCUAGACUUUGCUGCUUGAAAUGACAUUUCAAUAAACCUCUUUGACUAUAUACAGU
Molecule: long non-coding RNA, 2311 nt
Organism: Clupea harengus (Atlantic herring)
Lineage: Eukaryota; Metazoa; Chordata; Actinopteri; Clupeiformes; Clupeidae
Source: Ensembl